AUUAAGUGGAUCCAAGACAAUGCUAUGAGAUGUGUGUUUGUCUAUGCCAAAAUCAGGUUCAUAACAUUGUUGAUCAUUUAUCACUGACGAUGACUGUGCAACAUCAAAAGAGCCUUCAUUAGCUCACUACUUUGGAGUAAUGAACAAGCUUACAUUUUCAUCUGGAGGUAGGAUUUCUGGUCCUUUUAUGCUCUGGCACUCGUCAUUCAUGGGAGGAAUGCACAAGUUGGAAGCUUGUUCAGGAAUGCCUGCCUCUGCUUCGUUGGACCUGUUGGAUCUCACUUGUUCUUCUUCCUUGGAUUGACCAACUGUGUUAUGCCUUCUCUGCUUUGCUUCUGGCAACAUGGAAGUCUGAUGUUUCAGUGGCCUUCCCAAGUUGUGAGGAUUUCCACUUCUUCUUGCCACCAGUUCAUCAAUCUUUUGAGGAACAUCAGCCUUUUGAACUCUUGCAACCUUUACCUUCUGCACAGCAGGUUUACUAGCAUGCGGAGGGACUCUUCUAAAUCCAUGGCCCCCUUCAAUAGCUCCCUUCCAAUUUCUAUUGAAUAUCUAUCAAAGUUAACACCAUUAGAGCAGGCUCUCAGGAUCUGAUUUAAUUUUUGUGCCCCUUUAGAUAUCUCUUUGAGAUGGAGAUGAGGAAGGUUAGGGAAGCGGCUAGUUGAGGAGCUGUGCCUAUCAAUGCUGCUUCUUUCCAUCUUGCCCAUGUCUACUGAUCGUCUGCUAAUCUGAUUCAGGAAACCCAGCACUGAACUAUUGCCAGAUGAAUCCAUUCUUCUGAGGCUUCCUCCAUUUUCAAGAGCAAAAGCCAGUGCCAUGGAUAGAUCUCCAAUGUGUUCUGAGCUUUUACCUCUCCCAAAAGGAACAAUCUGUUCUGAACCCUCUCCAAUGGAGACUGGCCUAUUGCCUCCCAUAGACUUGGGGCGUGUAUUUCCAUUUUUUAAGACAAUCUGCACAAGUGAAGCAAAUCAAGUAAUUGAAGUAAAUGAGAUCUGCUAGCUUCAGCCAUCAUAACUUACAGUUUGAUGCGUUUUCAUUUCUGUGGAUCCUCUAUAAGCGCGCUUGGAAUAAGAAUAUGCAUCUGUACAGACAGACUACUUUUAGAAAAUAAUUAUACUUCUGACACCAAUGUUUAUUAAUUAUCUGCAUACUUCUACGCAACAUUUCAAUCUUCCAGUGGCAGCAUUCAAGGCCGUUGCUUCUAAAAGCCCCUCUCUAGUUUGAGAUAGACUUCUCAUUUCAAUUAUUUACCUUAUAUUGGUUAGAAUGAACAUGCAUUUAUGAUUUAUCCGGUCACAUAUCUUCAUUUCUUAUUUGGUUUAUCUUCCUUCCUUCCUCGCCGUAUUUUCUUUAUUUGUUUUUAAGUUGUGUGAUAUGUGAUUCGCGGAGUGAUAGCUGAUGGGAACUUGAAACUCUUAACUAAUUUUGUUUAAUUCUGGAUGAAAAUUUAUUUGAUGGUGUUCACUGUACUCUGAAUAUGGACAAUGUGGUAAUGGAAGCAAAGCGAACAUAAAAAGCUUUGCAUCUUUCAUUGUCAUAGUCGUGUUAAAUUGAAGUGCUGAAUAUUUAUGGCCUAAGAUGGGAAAAAGAAGGAGCUUUGAAACAGUUUAUGCCAACUUGUCUUUAAAACACUUGAUGCCUGCUGAUCUUGGAAUUGCUUUAAGUAGUUGAAUAAGAAAUAACAUUUACAGAGAAGAAAGUUCAUCUUCGGGGCCUAGACACCUACAACUGAAGCUUGAAGUUGCUCCUGAGGAAAAAGGCUACUGUUCAUAUUUUGCAAUGUGAAAUUUCAUUGGAAUGCUUACCUGCUGCUAUUGCCUUUGAACUUUUUGAGCUUUGAGAAGCAGACAUUCGUUCCUUCCGCACCCGGAGAUCAUCUAAAAGCUUCUGUGCAAAAUCUGAUCUUUUUGCCAUGUUUCCUCUCAGGUGGAACCAAGUUUCCAAAGCACUUCAACCAGAAAAAUAUAAGUAUAAUGUCUUCCGCAUUGUGUUUUUGAUGUUUUCUCAAAGAUAAGAUGAUUUUUUUUUUCUUUUUCUCUUUGUUUUCUUUCUGGUUGGGAGAGUUCUUUCAGAGUUGGGUAAGGUGGGAAGUCUAGUCCAAGGAAAUACAAUGGAAUUUUGAAUUUUCACCCUGAAAAGGUUAGUUAACGUGGACGUUAGCUCUCUCUUUCUUCCCUGUAUGCUACCCUGACUUUGAUUCUAAUCCAAGCAAUGGCAUAGGUUUCAACUUUCAGUGGGCUUCCAUUCCAAGCCUUUGAUUGUUAACAUCUUUUCCAUUUAUUUUCCUUAUUUUAUUCUUCUUGUUGCUUGAAAAUUAAUGUUUAUUUUUAAUUUUUCCACGUAAUCCAUGAGAAUCAGGUAAAGUGAUCAUGGAUGUAUGAUCACGGACGUGCUUUGGGUUGAAGUAAAGAACGAGGUAUAUAAGGACGAGUGGGAGAAUGGCCAAAACACGAGGCACAGAUUCUUUGCAAUGGCAUAUCACAAACUUACAAAGCUUUUGAGUGGGUUGGGUUGAGUGACAAGAAUAUUUGGUUUGUCAGGAAUCAUGAAAGGUAUAAGCUCUCCAUGUCUGCGAAAUUGCUUUUCUAUAUGCAAAUCAAUUCUAUGGGAGUCAAUAAGAUAAUCAUCUGCAGUGGGUGGGGAAGGGCUGUCAUUUGUCCAGUGAUUAAAAUCAAAAGGAGAAAAGACAAUGUCAUCAACAAAACAAAGCCAUAUGCAGUAAAAUCCAUGCCGUUCCAUUAUCUUAUUCCCCUCGUAUUCAUGGCAGCUUCAUGACGCUGCACCUGCCAUACACCUACGCAGGAACCACCAGACAAUGAUGCAGUAACUCUUGGUAUGCAUGAUUGUAUAAUGACAAUCAGAAAUUUAAAAUAUCUAUCCUUGAUAUAAAUUUUCAGAAUGGUUAGAAUUACUCUUUUGAAAAAAUUUUAGUGGACUUGGUUUAUUAUAUUAAAGUGAUUUUUUUUUUCAA
Molecule: long non-coding RNA, 2968 nt
Organism: Manihot esculenta (cassava)
Lineage: Eukaryota; Viridiplantae; Streptophyta; Magnoliopsida; Malpighiales; Euphorbiaceae
Exons: 4
Source: RefSeq, a predicted model, not a curated record